AUGUUAUAUAAUAUGUAAUUUAUUGAUGGUUAUAGAAAUGAGAUAAGAAAGAGUACCCCCAAUAUCCACCAAGAUGUGAUAAUAUCCUUUUGGAGAAGGUGGGAUUCGAACCCACUACCUUCUUGUCUCAGCAGUGGUGGCCCCAACACCAAGUGCCUACUUGAGAAAGCAUUCCAUGAACAGCGCUUACCACUACGCCAUCCACCCCCCCUGAACAAGACAAGAAGGUAGUGGGUUCGAAUCCCACCUUCUCCAAAAGGAUAUUAUCACAUCUUGGUGGAUAUUGGGGGUACCCUUUCUUAUCUCAUUUCUAUUGGUAACUGCCACUGCAGGGUGGAGCAAUGUUCAACACUAUGUAUAUAGUCUAGAUGGAUUCAGUAUAGUGUGGGAUCCUAAGGCGUUGUGAUUCUUACAUGUCUAGUCCAAGUGACAAGGGACCGCUUAGUAUUGCGUGAGCAAUUGUGGGGCAAGGCACCCCUUGAGGGCUAGAUCCAGAACCUUGGAAUGGUAUAGUGAAGUCUCUCCAUCAAGGAUGACUCAGUUAUGGAUAGAGAAAUGUAACUAGAGAGUAGCCGAACAUAAGGGUAGGCUAGUGAGGUGAAGGCUGUCAUAGUCUCAGACUGCAUAUGGCCUUAGAAAAAAUAUGAAGAACAACAACAACAACAACAAUCUUGUCUUGUUCAGUAAGGAAAUUACG
RNAcentral lists this small RNA (697 nucleotides) under Histoplasma ohiense. RNAcentral's name for it is "hypothetical lncRNA". The record is from RNAcentral. Lineage: Eukaryota; Fungi; Ascomycota; Eurotiomycetes; Onygenales; Ajellomycetaceae.